UUGCCAAGCUUUCCAAAAAGUCUUGGAUCACUAUUUUUGGUGGUCUGAAGAUUAAGUUAUGGAUGUUUGAAGUCUGAAGACUGAAUCUGUCCAAUUCUGGACAGCAAAGCCUUCUAGUGUAUUUUAUCCUUAGUUAACUAUUGAGUCACCUUAAGAUGUUUAUAAGUGAUAUGUAGACAAUUUUAUUACCUUUCCAGAAAGUCUAGGAUCACCUUGUUUGGAUGCCUGAAUCUUCAGUUAUGAAUUUUUAAAGUCAUAAGUCUGAAUCUGUCCAAAUCUGGACAGCACUGUUGUGUUAACACCUUUUGACCUUGCUAAGUGUUUAAUCAUGCUGUGAUGACAAUACCAAAGUUGUAAAGCACUUUUCAAGCUUUCUAGAAAGUCCUAGUUUACUAUUUUUGAGUAAAUAUCUUGUGAGUUAUGACUGAAACAAUUGACUGCUGUAUUGCUGUCCAAAAAUUCUGCUAGUGCGCUUUUGAUUGUUUAGUUUCCCCCUUGUCGCUAAAAAUGUGUGGUUUGCUCUUAAGUAAUGUAGACUUGCCAUGGUUAAGCUUAAUAAUGAAUGUGUGUACUGUUUUAUAUGUUUCCUUCUCUAGUUGUUUGUGAUAUAGGAGUUCCGUAGUUAGUGAUGCCUAUGUCGUAUUCAAGCUUACGUUGUCUUGGUUGGACUUGUGUGGUUGGUAAUGCUUUUGUGUGAUCAAUAGAAGAACUAAGGAAAAGCCGUAGCAAUUAAAUAAAUGCUUGUACGUGUGAUGUCGUGUUACGUUGGUUAAGUGUAGGUAGUGAUCGUCGUCUUUCCAGUGGUAGUGUUUACAUGUGCCCAACGACAUAUAAAUAACUAGUGUUUGCGUAUAGUUGUUGCAGUGUCUUACUAACUAAUGUUUAGUUCGCCACUGUGUCUUGGUAUACCUUGUGCUAUUUUUGUGCUACUUUCAUUAUAUUCAUACAUAUGCAUCUUGCACCUCAUAUAGGACCGAGAGAUGAUGAUCGAGCUAGUGAUGUGGUGCCAACCACAAGAUGCCGUGGUGGACGACCUGAAGAAUGGACUUAACCACUGGAUGCUCGCCAAGCGAGUACCUCCCCCAGCAAACACUACCUAAGUGUUAAAAAGGCAAGCCCCGGUUUUAUGCAUAACCGUUUAUAUAUGCUAUUUUACUACACUUAAUGUUUGUAGGUUUGUACUGUGCACUUAAGUGUAGGAGUUGCCUGAAACCCUAGUUGCAUGAACUUAGGAUUCCUUUGAGAUGGAUACUAGUAUGCUAGGUCGAGUAGCUGCUUUGCUAAUUAGGGAUCUCGGUAGAAGUCGAGUGAUUUUUCUAGCACUCGCGCGAGGUCAGGACAUUGAUUGUACCCACGUUCAUAUCAUAUUGAUGAUUGGUCUGUGGACACGGGUCCAUGGGGACGCGUGGUCUACGAGAUGAAAAUUGGAAUAAGGAUUAACGUGCGGAUACCUGUGUCAAGCGUUUGAACGUACUAAACAUAUGCCGAGAAAUAUGGUAAAUCGGUAAGCCUAGUACCUGAGUGAACCUGGCAGUGGACAUAUCCCCUCACGCGACCUGAGACGAGGUCUCCCAUUCCGGUUAUGGUGGGUACAAGUGCGGUCACUGCACGACGGCCAGUCGGGGUCAGUGAGGCAUUGUACGCCAAGGCGGUGAGCCCUGAUCUGCUGACGGGGAAUCGAUGGGGACGGUUGAUGUGUGUGGGGACGGAGUGCCCCUACAUGUCGUGUGUUUAGGUUUACCUUGCAAGGAUGAAAACUCGAUUCGAAUCGUCUGCUUCUCGCAGCUAAUGAGACUGCUUGAUCCAUUGUACUGCAUUGAGUAAUAAGUGGAAAUGAGGUGACUGGCAAAAAGAUGUUGAUUGGUAAAAAUGUUUGAUACCAUGUAUGAGUAGCUAGGUACUCACCUAGUAUAAAAAGGAGCAUACUAAAACUUGAAAAGCUAAAACUUGAUUUUAGACUCAGCUAGUGCUUUUGGCAAACCAAACCCCUCCGCCAAACAGCUGCAUGUCUAGAGGUAGAGGAGUAGACUCCUCACACCGGGUAAGUCUAGCUGAGUAUUAGUAUACUCAGCCUUGCUUGUGGCACAAUUUUUGCAGGUACUCCUUAGGAUGAUUGGUUGAUGGUGUGACUUGGCCUCCAUCCCUGCCACCGGGAUAGAUGGUCGAGUGGGUUACUGCUUCCGCAGGAGAGGACCAGGAGGAGUAGCGUGGCCAGGCUUCGCCAUGUUACUCGGUUUUCUCCGUUAGUUAUUUCCGCUGCAUUAAAAUUUAUGGUUAUUAUUUCUGAAACUCCGAUAAUGUAAUCACUAAUUAUACUUAUUAAAUUUGUGGUAUUAUGUUUUAUUGUAUUUCUCUGUGCCUCACCUUCGAGUGAGCUAGUGGUAUUCGAUCCUGGUAAGUGGCUUUAUCGGACUAGAUCCGAGGGACUGACGGGUUAUUCCUGUUUAAGUGCGUUGCUGCCCUUAAGGGUGCGACUUGGGCACUUAAGCUGGAAUAAUUCGGGCGGUUCCGCCACAGCUGGUAUCGGAGCGAAUACCAUUACAGAGAAGUCAAUAAGUCAUAAUUACCAACUUUUCAAAACUAAAACUUGCUUAGAAACCAAUGUUGGAUAGAUCGUCAGGACGAUAAGGAUAGACCUAGGACGUGAAGCCUUAGGAGAUAGAUGGGUAGCUAGGUGGCUAUUUAUAUAGGCCAUAAAGGCUACUACUACUAUUAAUAAGGAUGUUGUAGAAGCAUCCGAAAAAUUAGUUAGGUCUGAGAAGACGACUAGAAUGAGCAUGCAUCAUGAUUGUCGCAUAAUUGUUUCUUGUGCAUCAACAUGCUUCUCUCACCUUUAUUCCAAUAAUAAGAACUUGUGAAUAAUGUGAUGUGCUGCUAUGUUAGAAAUGUCUUACCUCGUGUCAGAUUGGUAAGUCUUGUUAGGUUGUGUUAUGUGUCUCUCUUGCCGUGCUAUCUAGGUGGUAUUCUGAAUGUUCAACCCUUUUUACAAAAAAAAACAUGUUGUCUGUUCUGCUCAUGAAAAGAUUUCCCCCUCCAAACAACCUUGAGUUUAGCAAGUGAAACCUUUGUUAGAAAAAAAUCAAAUCACGUGCUUGUUUAGGUGUUUACGCUUGAAAUUGCACCUGCACAACUUAUAGACACCCAUAGCUUGACCGCUAGAUCAACCCAAGUCUCCUUCUGCACAUGUUACAAAAAAUGUUGUUUGGUGUCUAGUUGCGCAAACCCUAUCAAGGCCAUGUUUCUUUCCAUAAACCCUUGCCCCUAAAACUUCAUAACAUUCCUGUUGAUCAUCCAGCUGAUCUUGUUGCCUACCUCUCCUUUCACCUGGAUCUGGUAAUCCUUUUUCUUAUGAAUCAUGUUGGCUUUAUCAUCCGAAUCUCGGGAUCCCCUAUUGAUUCUGCCCCGUUAUCUGGUUAUCUGCUAUAACCCGUUCUCAAGUAUCAGAUGUUGAUCUUGCCUAAAUCUCUCAUUUCUGAUCAUUCUCAUACCCCCUUCUCUGAGGAUUAUGACGCUGUUUUAUCGAUUUUAUCUCUAAGCAGUGGAUCCAUUUGGUUCAAUGGAUUAUGUUAUUGACUUUAAUUCUCUCAUGUCUCUAAAAGCUCAUCAAUCUUGAUCUCAUGGUCGGUUCAUCCUCAUAUCAAAUCUCAUGCAAAUCUCUGAUCUGAUAAUCUCCAUGUUGAUCAUAAAAUAAUUCUCUGAGUUGAAGAAAAUUCUCAUGUGAUGCUCUUUUGCCAACAAUCUCUACUUCAACUCCGGUCACAUUCUUAUUUUCUGAGCCAUACUCUCAUGGGCUCCAUCUAUCUGUGUUGUGUGAAUUUUUUUUUUCAUUGGUUACGUUUGGUAAUGAUGUCAUGACUAACGACCGAUGGUGCCGCGACGAGACCGAGAGCCUACUAUGGUGCACACAUGGUUGAGCUUUUCGGCACGCGCUGGUAUCGCGGUUAAUAGUCGUGAUCCAUUAUGGGACUAUACCGAUGUGCUCUCUUUUGUGAACAUCCUCUCAAAGUGAUCGCUGCAUUUUGUCUCAACAUGCCGCGAUAUUCUACCCAAAUCUAUCUUCAGUUUUUUUUGUCAAAUCCCAUCUCAUAAAUUUGCAUCUAUCUCCAGCCUGGACGUUACAUGCUUCUCCACCCUUGAAGAUCCUCAUUCGAAUCUCGGGACGAGAUUCUUUUUAAGGGGGGAAGGCUGUGACACCCCAGGUGUCAGUUUCGUGUUACGUCGCGAGAUUUAUCCUAAUCUCGGAUGCUCAGUGAAAAUUUCUAUUUCUCGCUCGCGUAUGUCUCUGAUUAUCCAGAUUAUUUAUCCACAUUUCACCAAGUUUGGAAUUAUUCAAUCUCAAGAACAGCCAAAUUUGGAGCUGUUAAAACUUUUAUUCUCGGCGCGAAUGUAAUCUCAAUAUUCAAUCUCGAUUUAUAAAUCUUGUCUAAAGCUCAUUAAAUCAAACCCUCGACGACUGUUAUCUGAUCUGAGCCCGAAUCUAAUUCCUCGAACUUCGAACGAUGUUCGACUAUUUUAAUCCGAAUCCGUACUCUCAAAAGAAAUACUCAGUAUGUCGUCCUCUGAUCAAAUCUUACUCGACUCAGCUUAGCAUCUCUGUAUCCAAUCCGAUUUCAAAAUCAACAUCGGCAACGAUUUUUUAAAUAUCACAAUUCGCUUUCUCCGACUAAAAAUCCAAAAUCGAUCAAAUCUCAGGACGGUUUAUUUUCGAAUCACGCGUAGGGAAUUAUUUUCGAGUGAAAUCUAAUUAGACUCUCGGCCGAAUUAAUUGCUCAAUCGUCCGUUCGCCGAAAUCUAUUUCGCUUUGUUCUGUGUACAGACAAAUUCCGCGGGAACAUUUUAUUCCGGAAAAUGUUUAGCGCAGCCCGAUAACGUGUUUGGGCCAGCCCAACCCAGCCCAUUUGGCCCAUUUAAAACCCUAACCCUAGUGCCCCUUCUAUAAAUAGCACCUCUCUCCCUUGCAAAUUGGCAAUUUUUCACUCCCACCCUCCAUUUCUUCCCAGCCGCCACAGCCUUCUUCCUCCUCUCCCCCACACGCACAGCUCUCUCCUUCCCUGUACAUGGCGCAGAAAAAUCUCCAGCCAUGGCGUGAGCACCAUUCCCAUGGUCGAGCUCACCUCCCUGCCGCGAGUUUGCCAGCACCCCCCACGCGGAUCUCCAUUUCCCCUAGCUGUCGCUCGCCGCAGAGUUCUCUGCUGGCUUCCUCCUCGUCGCGCGCAGGGCACCUUUGGCGUUCGCCCCUGCGAGCUCCCUCUGCUUCACAGCCUAGCCAUGGUGGCCACCGAGCUCCCCGCUCCCAUCUCCUCUGCCCGGCGCCCUCCCUAUUCCUAUUCCACGCAGGGCAGCCGGCUCCCCUUCCUUCUUUCCCCCUUCUCCCCCAUGGCCGAGCCCCCUCUGUUGCCGACCGAGCUUCAGCUCUAGCUCCGGCCAGCGGCCAUGGCGCGACGCCCUCGCUAUCUCCUCCACCAUGCAGUGUCCGGCCACCACUUCAUCACCAGCGCAGGAUCCUCUAGCCCAACCCCUCGCGGCGGAUGCGCAGCCGUCCUCCUCCUGCUCUUCGACCAACAGCAGCCAGCGACCCCCAUGUCCAGGAACUCGACGCCAGCUUUCUUCCUGUGUCCAAGGCCGCAGGGGAGCAGUAGCUCUUCCUCCCUAGCUUCCAUUUCCCCUGCAAGUGACCCUCUGCUCGGCUCCCUCUUCCCAGCAGCAAGCUCCGGAUUUCUGUACGCCGACAUGGGGCUGCGCAGUCCCGACCCAAGGCGCCGCGUGGGUGUUGGACAGCCCCACGCUACGUCGUCGAUCUGCGCGGUCUGACUGUCUCCGCGUCUCGCUUCGCCGAAUCUGCGCAGCGCCGACGUGCCAUCGUGGGAACCCGUGGUGAGACCCCGUUGUCCUGCCCUUUUUGUGUUCGAUUAAAAGGCCGCACCAAUAAAUCACAUAAUAAAUUGUGUAAUGAUUGUGUAUUUCGUUUGAUCGCAGCCCUUGUCGACGUCACGCCUUGCGCAUCGCUCGUCGGCAAAGAGCCCAAACUAAUGGCAUGCAUGCGUGGCACGAGUCGGCCAGGUUGUUCGCCUUGUAUGAUUGCGAUUUAUUUUACUUACGUAUUCGGUCGAUGAUGUGCCUGCAUGUUUAUAUGUGUGUAAAAUGUUUCGGUUAUGCGCAUUGGUAGAAUCGCGUUUGCGAUUGGAGAACAAGAGGUUAUUUGAGGUAUGCGAUUUGUAGUUGUCUAAUUAUGUUUUGGUCGAUGUGGUGCAUGUUUAAAAAUUGUAUUGGUAUGGAUUAAAGUUCGCGGCGAAAGAAAAUGAAGUAGAGAAGAACUCAGGUAUUUUUAUUUUGAUCGGAAAAUAUGCGAUGCGUUGUUUAAUGCGAAAACUAAGUUACAAAUGCGGAUUUUGUUUUGGGAAAUACAUCGAUAGGUGGUUAUGCGAAAAGUAUAAUUGUUUUAUACAAUGUGAUGGAAUUCAUGAAUAUAUAGGGGAUAUAUUUAUUGAUGUGACGAGUAGUUUAGAGAAUGUUAGUUUGCGUAGAGGAUGAAUUAUUAAAACAUGAGUAUCGGAGUUCAUAUAUUAGUGGUCGCGCCACAUUGGUUGAAGUGUCUCGAGUGCACGCCACAACAUGGUUGUAUGCGAGACAAGGUUGUGUGCCUGAUGCGUUUAGUAAAAAUCCAUCGGUGUCACUAGUGUUAAGUUGAGGUUGAUUUGCGCGUGGAAAGUGACAGUGUGUCUAAUACUUAGAACUCUUAGUCGUUAGUAGAAAUUGUUUGGGCUUAUGUAGAGAGGUGAUGACAUGUCGUAAGUAGUCAUCACUUCCUCUAUAAUUAUAAGUCGAGUCUUUACACGUUAGGCGUUCCUUAAAUUGUGCUUCACAAAUGAGUGUAUGCUUGUGUUUAUGACUUGAAUAGAUGUUUUCGAGUAAACUAAUAAGUUCCUAAAGCAAUUAUGUGUAUGGUUAUGAUUGCGAGUGAAAAGUAUUAGUGCUCAUGUGAGGUCUAAGCUAAAAUGCAAAUUAUUGGGUGAAAAGCGCUUCGAUGUUGAUUAUCGUGGAGAACGCGUGGUUAAUUGAGUAUGGUAAAUCUAGCGCACAAAAUGACUUGGAUAAAAUUUAUGAGUCAACUUGAUGGUCCUAAUUUGACUAAUUUAACUCUAAUCAAUGGUGAAGUGUUAGAAUAAUUCAAGUCUCUAGAACACGACUGAUUCUUGAAUUAUAUAGGAGCUGAAAUUUAUUGACUGCUGUUUUGGACUGCACGUACUGUUUUCGGUGUGCUGUAUGUUUGAUGAACUAAAUUGUGUUUUCUGUAGAUAUGUUCUAUAGAAAAGUUGUAGAUAACAUGAUUAUCUUGCUUGUACAAAAAUUUUACAGCCAUAAACCUGAUCGUUUAGGAGUUGUGCUUUUCACAAGCUCAGCAACUGAAUCUGUCAAAAUUCUGUACAGAAUUCAGAAACUGUGUUGUUUGUUCAACUUAGUGUUGCAAUCUGUUCAUGGUCAUUAUAAGAAAGUUGUAGAUGCUUUUCUGAUCUUGCUUGUGUUAAAAUUUCAUAACUAAAGGCCUGACGGUUUAAGAGUUAUGAAAUUUACAAACUGAUUGCUGUGUUCUGUCCUCCGUCAGAACAUAUUUUAAAAACUGCGUUGUUUGAUUCAGUUAAGCACAGAAUCACUUCUUGGUGAUUAUAAAAGUUAUGUAGUGCAAUUGCCAAGCUUUCCAAAAAGUCUUGGAUCACUAUUUUUGGUGGUCUGAAGAUUAAGUUAUGGAUGUUUGAAGUCUGAAGACUGAAUCUGUCCAAUUCUGGACAGCAAAGCCUUCUAGUGUAUUUUAUCCUUAGUUAACUAUUGAGUCACCUUAAGAUGUUUAUAAGUGAUAUGUAGACAAUUGUAUUACCUUUCCAGAAAGUCUAGGAUCACCUUGUUUGGAUGCCUGAAUCUUCAGUUAUGAAUUUUUAAAGUCAUAAGUCUGAAUCUGUCCAAAUCUGGACAGCACUGUUGUGUUAACACCUUUUGACCUUGCUAAGUGUUUAAUCAUGCUGUGAUGACAAUACCAAAGUUGUAAAGCACUUUUCAAGCUUUCUAGAAAGUCCUAGUUUACUAUUUUUGAGUAAAUAUCUUGUGAGUUAUGACUGAAACAAUUGACUGCUGUAUUGCUGUCCAAAAAUUCUGCUAGUGCGCUUUUGAUUGUUUAGUUUCCCCCUUGUCGCUAAAAAUGUGUGGUUUGCUCUUAAGUAAUGUAGACUUGCCAUGGUUAAGCUUAAUAAUGAAUGUGUGUACUGUUUUAUAUGUUUCCUUCUCUAGUUGUUUGUGAUAUAGGAGUUCCGUAGUUAGUGAUGCCUAUGUCGUAUUCAAGCUUACGUUGUCUUGAUUGGACUUGUGUGGUUGGUAAUGCUUUUGUGUGAUCAAUAGAAGAACUAAGGAAAAGCCGUAGCAAUUAAAUAAAUGCUUGUACGUGUGAUGUCGUGUUACGUUGGUUAAGUGUAGGUAGUGAUCGUCGUCUUUCCAGUGGUAGUGUUUACAUGUGCCCAACGACAUAUAAAUAACUAGUGUUUGCG
RNAcentral lists this long non-coding RNA (8534 nucleotides) under Zea mays. RNAcentral describes it as "long non-coding RNA (ZMAY_LNC005474)". The record is from RNAcentral. Lineage: Eukaryota; Viridiplantae; Streptophyta; Magnoliopsida; Poales; Poaceae.